UACGUAGGGGGCAAGCGUUGUCCGGAUUUAUUGGGCGUAAAGAGCGUGUAGGCGGCCAGGUAGGUCCGCUGUGAAAACUCGAGGCUUAACCUCGAGCUGUCGGUGGAAACCAUCUGGCUAGAGUCCGGAAGAGGAGAACGGAAUUCCCGGUGUAGCGGUGAAAUGCGCAGAUAUCAGGAAGAACACCCGUGGCGAAAGCGGCUCUCUGGAACGGUACUGACGCUGAGACGCGAAAGCGUGGGGAGCGAACAGG
Molecule: ribosomal RNA, 253 nt
Filed under: uncultured bacterium
Lineage: Bacteria
Description: partial 16S ribosomal RNA
Rfam family: Bacterial small subunit ribosomal RNA
Source: RNAcentral